Molecule: transfer RNA, 75 nt
Filed under: Nitrospira sp.
Lineage: Bacteria; Pseudomonadati; Nitrospirota; Nitrospiria; Nitrospirales; Nitrospiraceae
Description: tRNA-Gln
Rfam family: tRNA
About the family: Transfer RNA (tRNA) molecules are approximately 80 nucleotides in length. Their secondary structure includes four short double-helical elements and three loops (D, anti-codon, and T loops).
Source: RNAcentral
UUGGGGAUCGUCUAGCGGUAGGACGUCAGUCUCUGGAUCUGACUACCUACGGUUCGAUUCCUAGUCCCCCAGCCA